Molecule: ribosomal RNA, 602 nt
Filed under: Actinomycetales bacterium A224
Lineage: Bacteria; Bacillati; Actinomycetota; Actinomycetes; Actinomycetales
Description: bacterial SSU rRNA
Rfam family: Bacterial small subunit ribosomal RNA
Source: RNAcentral
UGCAGUCGAACGAUGAAGCCCUUCGGGGUGGAUUAGUGGCGAACGGGUGAGUAACACGUGGGCAAUCUGCCCUUCACUCUGGGACAAGCCCUGGAAACGGGGUCUAAUACCGGAUAACACUCUGUCCCGCAUGGGACGGGGUUAAAAGCUCCGGCGGUGAAGGAUGAGCCCGCGGCCUAUCAGCUUGUUGGUGGGGUAAUGGCCUACCAAGGCGACGACGGGUAGCCGGCCUGAGAGGGCGACCGGCCACACUGGGACUGAGACACGGCCCAGACUCCUACGGGAGGCAGCAGUGGGGAAUAUUGCACAAUGGGCGAAAGCCUGAUGCAGCGACGCCGCGUGAGGGAUGACGGCCUUCGGGUUGUAAACCUCUUUCAGCAGGGAAGAAGCGAAAGUGACGGUACCUGCAGAAGAAGCGCCGGCUAACUACGUGCCAGCAGCCGCGGUAAUACGUAGGGCGCAAGCGUUGUCCGGAAUUAUUGGGCGUAAAGAGCUCGUAGGCGGCUUGUCACGUCGGAUGUGAAAGCCCGGGGCUUAACCCCGGGUCUGCAUUCGAUACGGGCUAGCUAGAGUGUGGUAGGGGAGAUCGGAAUUCCUGGUGU